RNAcentral lists this ribosomal RNA (235 nucleotides) under uncultured bacterium. Its description in RNAcentral is "partial 16S ribosomal RNA". It matches the Rfam family "Bacterial small subunit ribosomal RNA", at positions 333 to 565 of the family's 1533-position model. The record is from RNAcentral.
UCUAUCCUACGGGAGGCAGCAGUGAGGAAUAUUGGUCAAUGGGCAAGAGCCUGAACCAGCCAAGUCGCGUGAGGGAAGACGGUCCUAUGGAUUGUAAACCUCUUUUGCCGGGGGGCAAAAAGCGGUACGUGUACCGCAUCGAGAGUGCCCAGAGAAAAAGAAGCGGCUAACUCCGUGCCAGCAGCCGCGGUAAUACGGAGGAUGCGAGCGUUAUCCGGAUUUAUUGGGUUUAAAG